RNAcentral lists this long non-coding RNA (620 nucleotides) under Mus musculus (house mouse). Its description in RNAcentral is "alncRNA-EC4". Lineage: Eukaryota; Metazoa; Chordata; Mammalia; Rodentia; Muridae. The record is from RNAcentral.
GGGCUUCUCCACCGUGAGGACUCUGCUGGAACUGGUUUCUCUAUGUAGCCUGUCCCAGAAGUUCCUCUGUAGACCAGGCUGGCCUCGGACUCAGAGAUCCACCUGCCUACACUGAGAAUUGUUAAAAUGGACGGUGCUACACAGGAAGAGACCAUUCCAGUAUGGACUGGCCAUUGGAAAGGACGGCACAGUAUCUGGACUGUUCUGUGUCCUCAGGAUGCUGCGGAAUGAACACACAUCUGCGCAAGAAUACAGUAGCAGAAACCACAUCUCACACUUGAUAGGGGAGUUGGAACUAUGAAUAUUACAGUCUAUAAUAAAUAACACAUAACCUACAAGUCAGAGUGAACACUAUUGUGUUAUUAAGGCAGGCCAGCCUCAGCCUCCCAAGUUCUGGGACCAGGCCCAGGCAGAACAUUGCCAUUUUUGUUGAGACUCAGUCAUACAUUGUAGUGUUGUCUGGCCUGAACUCACAGAGACUACCUGCCUCAGCCUCCCAGGGCUGGGACUAAAGACAUUUGCCGCCAUAACCGCUCUGUUGCAUUCUUUACAGAGCAUCAGGGAUGGCUGGCUCAGAGGGCAAAGGUCAUCUGUUGCACAAGCCUGCCCAGAACCUACAG